Molecule: non-coding RNA, 225 nt
Organism: Caenorhabditis elegans
Lineage: Eukaryota; Metazoa; Nematoda; Chromadorea; Rhabditida; Rhabditidae
Source: Ensembl
CGUGUUUCAUUGUUUCGCAAUAUUAUAGACCGAAUAAACAUUCUUGAAAUAAUCUAACAUUUUUAUAUCGACUUUCUAUAAUUCAAACCAUCAAAUUGAGACACCUUUAAACAUGUUUUUUGAGAAAAAGUUGUUGGAAUGGAAAGUAUAUUGCAAAUAUAAUGAACCCCUGAAGUCAUCAAAGAACAGACAUAUUUUUUAAAACCACUCCUAUGGUGCCAAAAU